This 465-nucleotide ribosomal RNA is filed under the name uncultured bacterium. RNAcentral describes it as "bacterial SSU rRNA". It matches the Rfam family "Bacterial small subunit ribosomal RNA", at positions 41 to 507 of the family's 1533-position model. The record is from RNAcentral.
GGCAUGCCUAACACAUGCAAGUCGAACGGAAACAGGACGCUGUGAUCUCUUCGGAGUGAACUUGUCGCUGUCGAGUGGCGGACGGGUGAGUAAUGCAUGGAAAUUGCCUCGAAGUGGGGGAUAGCCCGGAGAAAUCCGGAUUAAUACCGCAUGUGCUCUACGGAGCAAAGCGGGCCUCUGAUUUAAGCUCGCGCUUUGAGAUAUGCCUAUGUCGGAUUAGCUAGUUGGUAGGGUAAUGGCCUACCAAGGCGACGAUCCAUAGCUGGUCUGAGAGGAUGAUCAGCCACACUGGGACUGAGACACGGCCCAGACUCCUACGGGAGGCAGCAGUGAGGAAUAUUGGACAAUGGGCGCAAGCCCGAUCCAGCCAUGCCGCGUGAGUGAUGAAGGCCCUAGGGUUGUAAAGCUCUUUCAGCGGGGAAGAUAAUGACGGUACCCGCAGAAGAAGCCCCGGCUAACUUCGUG